This 423-nucleotide small RNA is filed under the name Pan troglodytes (chimpanzee). Its description in RNAcentral is "retained intron". Lineage: Eukaryota; Metazoa; Chordata; Mammalia; Primates; Hominidae. The record is from RNAcentral.
CUCAGGGUGAUAAGAGGGGCAGACCCCCACAGGCUGCUCUGACUGCUCCCUCUCCCGGGUAUGCAGCCAGCAGAAAACUGAGCUUCCGGUCACAGAGAAUGUGCAGACGAUUCCCCCGCCAUAUGUGGUCCGCACCAUCCUUGUCUACAGCCGUCCACCUUGCCAGCCCCAGUUCUCCUUGACGGAGCCCAUGAAGAAAAUGUUCCAGUGCCCAUAUUUCUUCUUUGACGUUGUUUACAUCCACAAUGGCACCGAGGAGAAGGAGGAGGAGAUGAGUUGGAAGGAUAUGUUUGCCUUCAUGGGCAGCCUGGAUACCAAGGGUACCAGCUACAAGUAUGAGGUGGCGCUGGCUGGCCCAGCCCUGGAGUUGCACAACUGCAUGGCGAAACUGUUGGCCCACCCCCUGCAGCGGCCUUGCCAGAG